Molecule: ribosomal RNA, 478 nt
Filed under: uncultured bacterium
Lineage: Bacteria
Description: partial 16S ribosomal RNA
Rfam family: Bacterial small subunit ribosomal RNA
Source: RNAcentral
GACGAACGCUGGCGGCGUGCUUAACACAUGCAAGUCGAACGGUAAGGCCCUUCGGGGUACACGAGUGGCGAACGGGUGAGUAACACGUGGGUGAUCUGCCCUGCACUUCGGGAUAAGCCUGGGAAACUGGGUCUAAUACCGGAUAGGACUCCGGACUGCAUGGUCUGGGGUGGAAAGCUUUUGCGGUGUGGGAUGGGCCCGCGGCCUAUCAGCUUGUUGGUGGGGUGAUGGCCUACCAAGGCGACGACGGGUAGCCGGCCUGAGAGGGUGACCGGCCACACUGGGACUGGGAUACGGCCCAGACUCCUACGGGAGGCAGCGGUGGGGAAUAUUGCACAAUGGGCGCAAGCCUGAUGCAGCGACGCCGCGUGAGGGAUGACGGCCUUCGGGUUGUAAACCUCUUUCAGCAUCGACGAAGCGAAAGUGACGGUAGGUGCAGAAGAAGGACCGGCCAACUACGUGCCAGCAGCCGCCGUAA